RNAcentral lists this ribosomal RNA (590 nucleotides) under Contortylenchus sp. SG-2014. Its description in RNAcentral is "eukaryotic LSU rRNA". It matches the Rfam family "Eukaryotic large subunit ribosomal RNA", at positions 408 to 814 of the family's 3401-position model. Lineage: Eukaryota; Metazoa; Nematoda; Chromadorea; Rhabditida; Allantonematidae. The record is from RNAcentral.
AUAAGGUGGAAGCGGAUAGAGCUGACGUAGCUGGUCCGUAUUCAGCCGUUCAUGGUGUAUGGUUGUUGGCUGGCAGAGGCGGUGGUCUCCGUCGUCUCUUGUCGGUUGAUUGACCGUGUGCUUGGGCGGUGUAUUUACGGGCCAAAUGUGCUGAGGAGUGCGCGUUGAUCGUUUGACGUUGGGUUAGAGGAAACUCGUUUCGGCGAUUGAACCCUAGCCUCUCUGAGAACGCAUUCGGCGUGCAUGCGUGUCUCUCUGGACAUAGCGUGUCUGGAGCGUUGUCGGUGGACGGAUGGUCGCGGAUUGUGGCGGUCGCUUGCGACACGUGCUUUUCAUGACUGUUUCCUGGCAUGCUCCUUUUUGUCCAACCUCGGUGUAAAAGUCAGUCAUCUAUCCGACCCGUCUUGAAACACGGACCAAGGAGUUUAGCGUAUGCGCGAGUCAUUGGGUCAUUAAACCUAAAGGCGUAAUGAAAGUGAAUACAAAUUCGAUUUGUUGACAUGCGAUCCGGCGUACCUCGGUGCGUCGGCGCAGCAUGGCCCCGUUCCUGUCGCAUGCGACGGGGCGGAGGUAGAGCGUAUGCGCUGAUA